This 270-nucleotide ribosomal RNA is filed under the name uncultured prokaryote. RNAcentral's name for it is "partial 16S ribosomal RNA". It matches the Rfam family "Archaeal small subunit ribosomal RNA", at positions 474 to 743 of the family's 1478-position model. The record is from RNAcentral.
UACUAGCGGUCCAAGUCGCAGCCAUUUUUAUUGGGUCUAAAACAUCCGUAGCUUGUUUGAUAAGUUUCUUGUGAAAUCUGAUUUCUUAAGAAUUGGGCGUGCAGGAAAUACUGUCAAGCUAGAGAUUGGGAGACGUAAGAAGUACGUUCGAAGUAGCGGUAAAAUGUUUUAAUCUCGAACGGACUCACAAUAGCGAAGGCAUCUUACGAGAACAGUUCUGACAGUAAGGGAUGAAGGCUAGGGGCGCAAAACGGAUUAGAUACCCCCGUA